RNAcentral lists this ribosomal RNA (375 nucleotides) under uncultured organism. RNAcentral's name for it is "bacterial SSU rRNA". It matches the Rfam family "Bacterial small subunit ribosomal RNA", at positions 45 to 433 of the family's 1533-position model. The record is from RNAcentral.
GGCUUAAUACAUGCAAGUCGAGGGGGCAGCAAUGUCACCGGCGAACGGGUGCGUAACACGUAUGCAACCUACCUAUAUCAGGGGGAUAGCCCGAGGAAACUCGGAUUAAUACCGCAUAACAUUAGGAUCGGCAUCGAUUUUAAUUGAAAUAUUUAUAGGAUGUAGAUGGGCAUGCGUAGGAUUAGCUAGUUGGUAAGGUAACGGCUUACCAAGGCUACGAUCCUUAGGGGCUCUGAGAGGAGUAUCCCCCACACUGGCACUGAGAUACGGGCCAGACUCCUACGGGAGGCAGCAGUAGGGAAUAUUGGGCAAUGGAGGCAACUCUGACCCAGCCAUGCCGCGUGCAGGAAGACGGUCCUCUGGAUUGUCUCCUGC